AUGGAGGUCCAGCCCAGUAAAACCGGGGACCGACAGUUCUUUUCAGAAAUGGACCUUGCAGUGGAGCCAGGACUUGGUAGUGAGAUGAGAGAGCCUGCAUGGACUGCGGAGUCAUUGGAGAACAUAGAUAACUUGAGGCCUGCGACUCCUACUGGCUGCGUGAAUGACAGUGAUCCUGACAUUUUAAUAAAAAGUAAGCCAACGUCUCCUGCUGUGGAGGAGGUGGAGCAACCACCGACACCAGGAAAGGGCAUCGAGGCUGAACUGUUGAGUGCAGACUCGGAUGAAGCCAGUGAGGUCCUUUCCUUUUCCCUAACAAGCAGCAGGGUUCUUCUAACCUCAGCUGAUUUCCUGGCUGCCUCGUGCCCGUUAUAUGAGGAAAAGCCUAAAACUCCUGGGAGGGAGGAGCUAAGUGUUUGGACCCAUAACAGCUAUGGUGGGCCACCAACAACACUCUGCAGAGGCACGGCUGUUUCAGAAGAAAGCACAGCGUGUUCCCCAUUCAGCAGUCCACCACAUGUUCUGCCUCCAUCAAGCAAUCCAUACAUCACACCUCCAAAGACCCCAGGAAGAGACAUUUUGUUACCCCGAAGAGACAUAUUCCACAAGAGGAAAACAACCCCCCCACAGUCUUUGUCUCACAACUUUCUCAGUGUUUCUCCCAUCACGGUGUCCUCUUCAUGCAGCCUCUCUGAGGCUUCGUCAGACUCUGCUGAUGGCAGAGGCGUGAUCGUGAGUUCAGGUGUGAGAACAAAGCCCUUACAGGGACUCGAGAACAUGCCCGGACUUUUGAAUGAGGAGAAAUCUUUACUGAGGAAAAAUACAUGGAGGCGUUUGAUUAGGCGAAAAAGGGCUCGACAUCGGCAGAGGUCACUUUUGGGAGUCAGCUGUUCCCUCUCCUGCAACGGUCGUUUCCACAAGUGGCGUCCGCAUUUUGAGGAGAAGAAAAUUCUUCAUGGUGUUUGGAAGGUGGGUCUGGAUGAAGAAGACUCCAGACUUCUGCAGUGUGUUUAUGAAAGGCUGCAAGAGCAUAGUGGUGUUGGUUGGCUCAGUCACACACACUGGGUACCUCACCCUCAUAUCCUUUUGAGCGGAGCUUCGUGUUGUGUAAACAUGCACAAGUCAAUACUUUUAUUUCAGUGAGAUUAUUUCCUGGUUAAAUAAAGUGAAUGGACUAUGGAUGUGCUUCACUUCCUUAACUGCUGCUCACUGACUAAGAUCCCAACAGAGAGGAGUGAGGAACGUACGUUCUGCCUGCCGCUCCACAGAACCGGAUCAGCUCGCACGGAGGGGUUCUACAGAAUCAGCAGGAAGGAUAAAAUUAAAUACCUCAACAGCACAAAGCUGAGUUCUGAUCUUCAGUCUCCAAGUUCUCAGGUGCUGAGGAGAAGAUGAGAAGAAGGAAAUUACCUCAAUGGGUGUUUUAUUUAUUUAUUUGUUUGUUUUUCUUUGAGCAGGGGGUGUCUGUCUUCAUCCAGCAGCCCACAUCUCUGAGAGCUGGAUCUGACUUCAGGUCGGAACAGCGCCGCCUGCUGUCCUCUUUCAGCUGUGACAGUGACCUGGUCAAGUUCAACCAGCUUAAG
This is a long non-coding RNA of Nothobranchius furzeri (turquoise killifish), 1583 nucleotides long. The record is from Ensembl. Lineage: Eukaryota; Metazoa; Chordata; Actinopteri; Cyprinodontiformes; Nothobranchiidae.